RNAcentral lists this long non-coding RNA (1052 nucleotides) under Sinocyclocheilus grahami. RNAcentral describes it as "lncRNA (ENSSGRG00000048104.1)". Lineage: Eukaryota; Metazoa; Chordata; Actinopteri; Cypriniformes; Cyprinidae. The record is from RNAcentral.
CCAUUUCAUCAUUCUGUAAAUCCGAAUUCACCGAAAAUCAUUUUACAAAGAAACAGCUUCACAGAACUAUAAAUACUAUGCUUCUUUGUUCACUUAUAUGUGAGGGGGAAAUGUUCAGCCCUUAAUUUAAUAUAAUGUCAAAACAAUUUACACGUUUUUUUUUUAUCCCAAUGAGCUUUAUGUGUUACAAUUGAUCACAAUAACGUGUGUUAAAGAGCACUGUUCAACCCCCAUAUAUUUGUUUUCUGAGGAGUUUCCUCACAAGAACUGUGGAAAGCAGCAAACUUGGGAGGAAAUGAGCAUCACACAUUUCACCAGUGCGAUAAUGAUUCGCUUGAUUGUGUUGGCGUUGACCCUUAAUAUAGUAGUUGGCAGCGAUGAACUCACCUUCGUCACCGCAAGUUGCAGAGAGGACGUAGCUUUGCACUGUACUUUCCAUGAAAACUGUCAGAACUACACCUCUGUUACGUGGUACAAGUUCUACAAUAACAGCAGUGACAGAUCUACAACAAUGACAAUCCUCAUAAAGUCAGAAAAUGUCAUCCAAACUGAUAAGCGCAACGAUUCUGUGUCACUGGAUAAAAAUGCAUCUUUGGUCUUAAGGAAAGUUGCUCCUGCCAAUUCUGGGAUCUACAAGUGUUUAAUUAGAGCCAAAGCUGGAGGAAUGAACUGUCAAAAUCGGGUUAGACUUAAUAUCUCAGAUUGUGUGUCAACAGCUUCACCCAUCAUCUUUGAUUUCUCCACCAAGUUUAUUAAUGAAUCAUGGGCAAACAUUAGCAUCCCAUUGCCUCAUGUGAAUGAUGAUUCAGUGCUCUUUGUCCUUUGGGGUUGUGUAGGACUGGCUGUGAGUAAACUUGUCCUCAGUACCAUUUGCAUAUGGGUUUUCAAGGAGCUCAGCAAACUUAAAAGAAGACGGACUUAAGACCAACCACUGUUUACCUGCCACAUGGUUUAGUAAUUUAUUAUCAUCAUUUUAAUAAUUUAUCUGAAUUUACCUGUGAAUAAUACACUUAAUGCAACAGUCAUGAUGAAACCGUACUGAUACUCUGAGG